GUCAUUUGUUCCCUCACCCUUACUUUCGAAUUCCCUCCCCUUCUCUACCGCCCGUAACCCCGUUCUCUCUUUAUUCUUCGUCAGCAAAACCGUAAGGUUCCAGGACUUCAGGAUACUCCACGGCUCCACUGCUCCCAGCAUCUGGAUUUAGGGAUAUUUGGUGAGAUGGUUCCAAAAACAGGACUUUUCCCCUCGGCAAUCUUUUUGUGGUCUUCGUCAGUCGGUUGAAAAAAUGACGCAAAAUCUUGUGACUAUGCAUAGCUGAGGCUCUUCUUGAAAUUGUUCCCAAAAAGAAACCCAAACUGCUACGUGACUCAAUCCGCGAAGCACACUGUAACUACUUGACACGCUCCAACUCACUACCUCACUUGGACUCAAAAGUUGUUGGUCUUAAGGUUCGUUAGGUUUGCGCCUUGCAUCAUUUUUCCAUCUUUCUAUCAUCUCUGGCGACCCAUCUAAGGGCUUCGUGUCAACUAACCCAAUGAUUCCAGCUCAGAUACCAACGUACCUCUACUUCCAGUUAGAAAACUCGCUCGCUUUCAGGUGUCAAAGGGAUUAUAGUAACAAGUCAUGUGAAACUCAGUCAGUCUAAGGUUCAAAAUUCCAUCUCUUACUUGCCCGAUACGUGACGCGAAGACGCUUAUUGUACAACUCUUCCGGAUAGCUCUGCCGGAUCUUUGCGUGCAUUGAAAUCGAUUCUGUUCCUCCGUACCUAUCCAAAUUUCACUUGAAAACUUCAGACUUGAAAUCUCUCCUUUGAAAUUUUAAUUUGAAAAAAAUUGAAUUGUCAAAAGAAAAGUCUUCUCUUACCAGAAGUUCUUCAAAAAAAACCUACCAAAAUUUGAAUUGUAACCUUAUACUUUACUGUGCAUAUAUAUUAAACUUUAAAAAAAUCUAAUUAGCAAACAAUAAAUAAUGGUAAAUUCCAAAGUCUUAAGUGUUUUUUGAUCCUUCUCUCUUCAAAUAGGUAUUUUGAAACAUUUCGAACAACUAUUGCGAAAUCUCGGAUCAUCAAGCACCCACGACGCGCUAUUGCGAAAUCAGCCCCGUAGUGCACUGAAUGACUCAUCGCUGUCUGUAUCUCAAUACCAGGUAAAAACCAAUUACUUUCUCAACUGUUUUUGCAGGAUUUUUUGGGAUGACUUUGUUCCGGUGGCAAUUAGCAUUUCGCAACUUUAGGAAAAUUCCAGAACGUUUUCAUUUCUUCCGAAGAAAAAAACUUUGAGAUUCAAUUUUUGCAUACUGUACUUUAAUAAGUAGUUUCAGUAACAACUAUUUUAGACUAAAGAUGUCAGGCGCAGCAGUUAUAUCUUCAAAAUUCAAAUUGAAUAUCAUCAUUCACUCUCACUAAUGGACACAAACUGAAUUAUUGGGUUUCUUGUAAAUAAAUAAAAUUUUAAAAUAAAAUUAACUUUCAAAAAUCUACUUUCAAAAACGUAAGUUCGUGUGAAUCAAAAGUUUCAGAAAACCGUCGAAUGACGCUUUAAAACUGGUUGUUGUGGAAAAUAAUAUUGUGACUCCGGUUUAUAUGUGUGAUGAAAUGUUAGAAAAUUGCAACGUGCCCAAUUACUUCAUACCAACAUCUAUUCGCGUCUUGAUGCUUUUCUUUAUGAAUGCCGAAGCCUUUUACUAUUCUCUCAAAUCGAACCGUAAAUUUAAAAUUUGGAAGACUAGACUAUUUACUCGAACCAAAAACUCAAACCAAU
Caenorhabditis elegans is the source of this 1706-nucleotide non-coding RNA. The record is from Ensembl. Lineage: Eukaryota; Metazoa; Nematoda; Chromadorea; Rhabditida; Rhabditidae.